RNAcentral lists this ribosomal RNA (322 nucleotides) under uncultured eukaryote. RNAcentral's name for it is "partial 18S ribosomal RNA". It matches the Rfam family "Eukaryotic small subunit ribosomal RNA", at positions 1470 to 1796 of the family's 1831-position model. The record is from RNAcentral.
CCCUUAGAUGUUCUGGGCCGCACGCGUGCUACACUGAGUGGAUCAGCGGGUCAGGUUGCGCGAAAGCGUUUCCCAAUCUUUAAAUCCGCUCGUGAUGGGGAUUGACGGUUGCAAUUUUCUGUCAUGAACGAGGAAUACCUUGUAAGCGCGGGUCAUCAUCCCGCGCUGAAUACGUCCCUGCCCUUUGUACACACCGCCCGUCGCUCCUACCGAUUGAGUGGUCCGGUGAGGCUUUGGGAUCUGAGCGGAAAGAGCGUUUCGCUGUUUCUGCUCGGAAAACUCGGUCGAACCUUAUCAUUUAGAGGAAGGAGAAGUCGUAACA